This 253-nucleotide ribosomal RNA is filed under the name uncultured bacterium. Its description in RNAcentral is "partial 16S ribosomal RNA". It matches the Rfam family "Bacterial small subunit ribosomal RNA", at positions 524 to 776 of the family's 1533-position model. The record is from RNAcentral.
GACGAACCGUGCGAACGUUGUUCGGAAUCACUGGGCAUAAAGGGCGCGUAGGCGGCUUAUCAAGUCAGGGGUGAAAUCCAGCAGCUCAACUGUCGAAGUGCCUUUGAUACUGAUGAGCUCGAGGGAGGUAGGGGUAUGCGGAACUUCCGGUGGAGCGGUGAAAUGCGUUGAUAUCGGAAGGAACGCCGGUGGCGAAAGCGGCGUACUGGACCUCUUCUGACGCUGAGGCGCGAAAGCCAGGGGAGCAAACGGG